GAUGAACGCUAGCUACAGGCUUAACACAUGCAAGUCGAUGGGCAGCGCAGUGUAGCAAUACAUGGGCGGCGACCGGCGCACGGGUGCGUAACGCGUAUCCAACCUUCCCGUUACUCAGGGAUAGCCUUCCCGAAAGGGGAGAUUAAAUACCCUGAUGGUGUUUGAAUUCCGCAUGUUAUUCAAACUAAAGAUUUAUCGGUAACGGAUGGGGAUGCGUGACAUUAGAUAGUAGCGGGGUAACGCCCACCUAGUCUACGGAUGGUCCUAGGGGGUUCUGAGAGGAAGGUCCCCCUANACUGGAA
Molecule: ribosomal RNA, 302 nt
Filed under: uncultured bacterium
Lineage: Bacteria
Description: bacterial SSU rRNA
Rfam family: Bacterial small subunit ribosomal RNA
Source: RNAcentral